Siniperca chuatsi (mandarin fish) is the source of this 360-nucleotide long non-coding RNA. RefSeq lists it as uncharacterized. NCBI's taxonomy places the organism in Eukaryota, Metazoa, Chordata, Actinopteri, Centrarchiformes, Sinipercidae. The record is from RefSeq and is a predicted model, not a curated record. The transcript has 3 exons.
UUUGGAAUAGUCUCCCGAUAAGCCUGAGAUUGACAGGGUUUUUGCAGCAGCCAAUAUUAGCCAAGGUCAGAUGGUGAGAUGGGCAGUCAGGUCUGAUGUUGGAACAUAGACUGUAUAAAAGAAGUGGACGUAGCCUCCGGGUCUGAAAAGAGAAGCCAAUGCCUCCACCCUCUUGUCCAAAUAUGGUCACUUCUGGCUCCAGAAAACCAAAACGCCAAACUCGAGGCUUCAAACCAGUAGUCCACAAACAAAUGGAUGACGUCACGGCAGCUAAGUCCACUUCUUUUGUACAGUCUAUGUGUGGUAAAGAUUUGUAGUUUGUUCAUUAGGUGUGUGUGUGUGUGUGUGUGUGUGUGUGUG